Molecule: ribosomal RNA, 576 nt
Filed under: uncultured bacterium
Lineage: Bacteria
Description: bacterial SSU rRNA
Rfam family: Bacterial small subunit ribosomal RNA
Source: RNAcentral
ACGGGUGAGUAAUACAUCGGAACGUGCCCUGUAGUGGGGGAUAACUAGUCGAAAGGUUAGCUAAUACCGCAUACGACCUGAGGGUGAAAGUGGGGGACCGCAAGGCCUCAUGCUAUAGGAGCGGCCGAUGUCUGAUUAGCUAGUUGGUGGGGUAAAGGCCCACCAAGGCGACGAUCAGUAGCUGGUCUGAGAGGACGAUCAGCCACACUGGGACUGAGACACGGCCCAGACUCCUACGGGAGGCAGCAGUGGGGAAUUUUGGACAGUGGGGGCAACCCUGAUCCAGCAAUACCGCGUGUGUGAAGAAGGCCUUCGGGUUGUAAAGCACUUUUGUCCGGAAAGAAAUCGCACUUACUAAUAUUAGGUGUGGAUGACGGUACCGGAAGAAUAAGGACCGGCUAACUACGUGCCAGCAGCCGCGGUAAUACGUAGGGUCCAAGCGUUAAUCGGAAUUACUGGGCGUAAAGCGUGCGCAGGCGGUUGUGCAAGACCGAUGUGAAAUCCCCGGGCUUAACCUGGGAAUUGCAUUGGUGACUGCACGGCUAGAGUGUGUCAGAGGGGGGUAGAAUUCCACGU